This 1048-nucleotide long non-coding RNA is filed under the name Dasypus novemcinctus (nine-banded armadillo). Its description in RNAcentral is "lncRNA (ENSDNOG00000052251.1)". Lineage: Eukaryota; Metazoa; Chordata; Mammalia; Cingulata; Dasypodidae. The record is from RNAcentral.
CCUCUGUGUGCUCAGCACCCAUGGUUGGAAUGAACAGAAUAUGUAAGGAUAUCUUCAUAUUUAUACCUAGAGGAGGUGAAGGGAGAGAGGCACGAGGCAGGAGCAGGCAGGGCAUGACGCAAAGUAGGGUGGCCCUGGAACAAAAAUUACACCCACGGCACUCAGGCUAAUAAGUAAAUAAAACAGCUCAUCAAAUUGCCACGAAAUCUCUAACACCCAACACGGUCCUGGCACAGAGUAGGUGAUUUAUCAAUGUUUCAUGAACAGGUGAAUAAACAAAUGAACGAAUGACUGGACCAGCUUGUAAGAACUUUCUUUUCUACCUACAGGAAGCUGCAAGUCUGCAUUGGAACUUACAGGGACGCAAUGAGAAGCCACACUCUUUGAGCAGCCACUGGGACCCAAGUGCUCACUCAGCAGACUGUGAGUUCCAGGCAAUGAAGAACCACGCCCUGCUUGUACCCACCGCGACGCGCACUCGCAUGCCUGCAGGAGCUCUAGAGGACGUCUACCGGAUCUACCCCGAGGCGCUGCUUCAAGCCCGUGGGUCCCGCAAAGGCCGUGCGGCCCCAAGGCAGGGCCGUGCGUGCCUCGGCUUGCACGGGACUCGCCCGUGGUGAGCUCGAGAAGCGCGUUCUGCACAGCUCCCGAGUGCACGCACCGGGGGCGCGGGCAUGUUCUGAGCAGGGCGCCCGGAGGAGACCCGAGCGCGGGGGCUGCGGCCUGGUGAGAGCUCGCGAGGGGCGGAGCGGAGCCGGGGCCGCGUCUGGGAAACCGGGGGCCAGCGUGGACGUGCAGACCCCCAGGCCGCCUGGCUGCCCCCACUUCUUAGCACGCGCCUUCUCGGGCCCUGGAAGGGCGCUCCCUGGCUUGGGGCCAGCUGGAAGGCCCAACGGGGAAUGCGCUAAACACGGCGGGUUUCCAGGCGUUUCUUAGGCUGAAACCGUUCCCAGAAGCGAAGAUGAUGAAGGCUUCAUUUGUUAAGCAUAAAAAUAAAAACACUUUACGAAGGGUUUUAAGACAAAUCUUUUCUACCUAAUUCUUUUUC